Cerrena zonata is the source of this 72-nucleotide non-coding RNA. Lineage: Eukaryota; Fungi; Basidiomycota; Agaricomycetes; Polyporales; Cerrenaceae. The record is from the annotation of a GenBank genome assembly.
GGGCGCUUGGCGCAGUGGUAGCGCGAAUGCUUUGCAUGCAUUAGGCCGUGGGUUCAAACCCCACAGUGUCCA